AAAAUGGAGGUUUUGGUUAGCUGCCUGCUCUCUGGCCUCAAGUGAUUGCUUCCUACACCGGCUGCCCCAAUGAUAUAACAGACAAGAGGAGGAGCAAGACCUGGGUGUGUUUGUUGAUCACAGUAGGACCGUGAGCCAUGUGACGCUGCAGUUAAAAAGGCAAAUGUGAGCACAGUGUGCAUCAGUGAAGCACAUCAAAGCUACCUUACAGAGUAUUGAAGAAGUGUCCAUCCAAAGCCAGAGGGGGUGUGAGGACAAUGACCUUUCCCAGCACAGUGCCUUUGUGUGUCUAGCUCAGCCAAUUUCCAGCACACUCACUGCAGGUGGCUCUGGCGCUCGAAUGAAAAUCCAGCUGCUCUCUCUGGCUGUGUUUGAAGCUACAUUCAGGGGCGCACACGAUCCUGCAAAUCAGGCAUCCCGAGUCUGUGCGUUCAAGGCAAUGUGGAAAUGGAAGGUGAGAGAGGCUGUUCUGCAGCUGCCUCAGCUAGUUCAAGUUCCUCUUCAGUAACGGGGGAGAAGAGGUUUUGUUCUUGGAGCUGGGAAUGGGACACACCUUUCCUCGGUGCAUUUGGGUGGGGAGCUGCUUUUGACCCACCCAUGUCCCUGGAGGAGGGUUGGAGCCCAAGUCACUCCCUGUGGAUGGUGCUGGAGAUAAGCUCCUUCACCUGGCAUGUUGUCUGUGCAAUCAUUCCCAGCUGCU
Molecule: long non-coding RNA, 700 nt
Organism: Mauremys mutica (yellowpond turtle)
Lineage: Eukaryota; Metazoa; Chordata; Testudines; Geoemydidae
Exons: 3
Source: RefSeq, a predicted model, not a curated record